RNAcentral lists this long non-coding RNA (663 nucleotides) under Callithrix jacchus (white-tufted-ear marmoset). RNAcentral's name for it is "lncRNA (ENSCJAG00000053919.2)". The record is from RNAcentral. Lineage: Eukaryota; Metazoa; Chordata; Mammalia; Primates; Cebidae.
CUGAUAUUGGGGAAGCCCAGGUUUGCAACCUCAGUAGCUUCAAGGGUGCUGAUGUAACCUAAGAAGUUCCUCCUCAUUACUGUAAGUAAAGCUUUAGGCUUUCACCUGUGUACAUUACCAGAAACCCUUUGGGCUAAAAAGAGAAAAUCUGAAUGAGACCCACUGAUAACUAUGACAGACACAAUUGGUAAUGUUAUCUCUGAAGUUUGUCUUUAAAGAUUCUAGCUCUAGACAAAACCCUUCAUCUUUCUUUGUCUCAAAACAAAUAUAUAUGGGGCUGAAAGACCACUGAAAUGAGUCUUUGCAGAUCCAGUGCUUCUGGGCCUUUACAUAUGGGGUUAUCUCUGUCUACAGCACUCUCUCCACAACACCCUCUGCCCUUCCACUGGCUAACUCCUACAAGAGCCUCUGGUGCCAGCCUUUACACCUUCUGGGGAGCAUUUCCUGACCUUCUCCCCCAACUCAUCCUACCCACAGGACUCAGAGUAACCAGAAAUCCUAACCACACCCAUGAGGAAAGGAGCUCAUUUCCUUCAGUGCUGCAUCUUAAUAGAGAAGCAGGAGCUACGUGAUAUAGACCUUGGAAAGGCCUUCCUUGGCUUGGAAAUCCUUUAUUGUAAGUAGGUUCAGGACUGUUUUAUUUUCUCCCCAUUCUGACAGUGA